GCCUCGGUAGCGCAGUAGGCAGCGCACGUCAGUCUCAUAAUCUGAAGGUCGUGAGUUCGAUCCUCACCCAGGGGCA
Trichonephila inaurata madagascariensis is the source of this 76-nucleotide non-coding RNA. NCBI's taxonomy places the organism in Eukaryota, Metazoa, Arthropoda, Arachnida, Araneae, Nephilidae. The record is from the annotation of a GenBank genome assembly.